UUUGAUCCUGGCUCAGGACGAACGCUGGCGGCGUGCCUAAUACAUGCAAGUCGAGCGAACAGAAAAGGAGCUUGCUCCUUUGACGUUAGCGGCGGACGGGUGAGUAACACGUGGGCAACCUACCCUAUAGUUUGGGAUAACUCCGGGAAACCGGGGCUAAUACCGAAUAAUCUCUUUUGCUUCAUGGUGAAAGACUGAAAGACGGUUUCGGCUGUCGCUAUAGGAUGGGCCCGCGGCGCAUUAGCUAGUUGGUGAGGUAACGGCUCACCAAGGCGACGAUGCGUAGCCGACCUGAGAGGGUGAUCGGCCACACUGGGACUGAGACACGGCCCAGACUCCUACGGGAGGCAGCAGUAGGGAAUCUUCCACAAUGGGCGAAAGCCUGAUGGAGCAACGCCGCGUGAGUGAAGAAGGUUUUCGGAUCGUAAAACUCUGUUGUAAGGGAAGAACAAGUACAGUAGUAACUGGCUGUACCUUGACGGUACCUUAUUAGAAAGCCACGGCUAACUACGUGCCAGCAGCCGCGGUAAUACGUAGGUGGCAAGCGUUGUCCGGAAUUAUUGGGCGUAAAGCGCGCGCAGGCGGUCCUUUAAGUCUGAUGUGAAAGCCCACGGCUCAACCGUGGAGGGUCAUUGGAAACUGGGGGACUUGAGUGCAGAAGAGGAAAGUGGAAUUCCAAGUGUAGCGGUGAAAUGCGUAGAGAUUUGGAGGAACACCAGUGGCGAAGGCGACUUUC
Molecule: ribosomal RNA, 736 nt
Filed under: Lysinibacillus macroides
Lineage: Bacteria; Bacillati; Bacillota; Bacilli; Caryophanales; Bacillaceae
Description: bacterial SSU rRNA
Rfam family: Bacterial small subunit ribosomal RNA
Source: RNAcentral